GGGGAUUUAGCUCAGUGGUAGAGCGCUUGCCUAGGAAGCGCAAGGCCCUGGGUUCAAUCCCCA
Molecule: non-coding RNA, 63 nt
Organism: Rattus norvegicus (Norway rat)
Lineage: Eukaryota; Metazoa; Chordata; Mammalia; Rodentia; Muridae
Source: Rfam